AGAAAUGGCUCAGAGUGUGGGAUCACCACGAGCUCUUCGGAAUCGACAUCAAGAGAUUUCGGAAGCACAAUUUUUGCAAGCCAGGGCUGCUGGUGCCCAUUGUUUCCUGGAGCCCCA
This is a small nuclear RNA of Lampris incognitus (smalleye Pacific opah), 117 nucleotides long. RefSeq annotates it as U11 spliceosomal RNA. The transcript has a single exon. NCBI's taxonomy places the organism in Eukaryota, Metazoa, Chordata, Actinopteri, Lampriformes, Lampridae. The record is from RefSeq and is a predicted model, not a curated record.